RNAcentral lists this ribosomal RNA (440 nucleotides) under uncultured bacterium. RNAcentral's name for it is "partial 16S ribosomal RNA". It matches the Rfam family "Bacterial small subunit ribosomal RNA", at positions 338 to 795 of the family's 1533-position model. The record is from RNAcentral.
CCUACGGGUGGCUGCAGUGGGGAAUAUUGCACAAUGGGGGAAACCCUGAUGCAGCGACGCCGCGUGAGCGAUGAAGUCUUUCGGUAUGUAAAGCUCUAUCAGCAGGGAAGAAAAUGACGGUACCUGACUAAGAAGCCCCGGCUAACUACGUGCCAGCAGCCGCGGUAAUACGUAGGGGGCAAGCGUUAUCCGGAUUUACUGGGUGGAAAGGUAGCGUAGACGGCGAUGCAAGCCAGAUGUGAAAGCCCGGGGCUCAACCCCGGGACUGCAUUUGGAACUGUAUAGCUGGAGUGUAGGAGAGGCAGGCGGAAUUCCUAGUGUAGCGGUGAAAUGCGUAGAUAUUAGGAGGAACACCAGUGGCGAAGGCGGCCUGCUGGACGAUGACUGACGUUGAGGCUCGAAAGCGUGGGGAGCAAACAGGAUUAGAUACCCUUGUAGUC